UGGGGAAUUUUGCACAAUGGGGGAAACCCUGAUGCAGCGACGCCGCGUGAUUUAGAAGGCCUUCGGGUUGUAAAAAUCUUUUGUAUGGGAAGAAAAUGACAGUACCAUACGAAUAAGGACCGGCUAAUUACGUGCCAGCAGCCGCGGUAAUACGUAAGGUCCGAGCGUUGUCCGGAAUCAUUGGGCGUAAAGGGUACGUAGGCGGAUAAGCAAGUUAGAAGUGAAAUCCUAUAGCUCAACUAUAGUAAGCUUUUAAAACUGCUCAUCUUGAGGUAUGGAAGGGAAAGUGGAAUUCCUAGUGUAGCGGUGAAAUGCGCAGAUAUUAGGAGGAAUACCGGUGGCGAAGGCGACUUUCUGGCCAUAAACUUACGCUGUGGUACGAAAGCGUGGGUAGCAAACAGG
RNAcentral lists this ribosomal RNA (402 nucleotides) under Verrucomicrobiota bacterium. Its description in RNAcentral is "Verrucomicrobia bacterium partial 16S ribosomal RNA". It matches the Rfam family "Bacterial small subunit ribosomal RNA", at positions 355 to 776 of the family's 1533-position model. Lineage: Bacteria; Pseudomonadati; Verrucomicrobiota. The record is from RNAcentral.